Molecule: ribosomal RNA, 417 nt
Filed under: Clostridium perfringens
Lineage: Bacteria; Bacillati; Bacillota; Clostridia; Eubacteriales; Clostridiaceae
Description: partial 23S ribosomal RNA
Rfam family: Bacterial large subunit ribosomal RNA
Source: RNAcentral
GUGUAAGUUAUUAAGGGCACACGGUGGAUGCCUUGGCAUUAAGAGCCGAUGAAGGACGUGUGAAUCUGCGAUAAGCCUCGGGGAGCCGAUAACUGGGCUGUGAUCCGAGGAUUUCCGAAUGGGGAAACCUGGCUCAUCUUCAUGGUGAGUUACCGCCAGCUGAAUGUAUAGGCUGGUUGGGGGGAACGCGGGGAAGUGAAACAUCUCAGUACCCGCAGGAAGAGAAAAUAAAGUAAUGAUUCUGUGAGUAGUGGCGAGCGAAAGCGGAAGAGACUAAACCUGUGGUGUGUGAUAGCGGUUAGGCGUUGCAUCAUGGGGGUUGUGGGAGUCACAGUGGCAGUUCUAACUGGCUGCCGGCAUGAUGUUCAGGAUGGUAGGUGAACGACUUGGAAUGGUCGGCCGUAGAGGGUGAGAGUC